This 614-nucleotide ribosomal RNA is filed under the name uncultured Hymenoscyphus. Its description in RNAcentral is "eukaryotic LSU rRNA". It matches the Rfam family "Eukaryotic large subunit ribosomal RNA", at positions 38 to 667 of the family's 3401-position model. The record is from RNAcentral. Lineage: Eukaryota; Fungi; Ascomycota; Leotiomycetes; Helotiales; Helotiaceae.
GCAUAUCAAUAAGCGGAGGAAAAGAAACCAACAGGGAUUGCCUCAGUAACGGCGAGUGAAGCGGCAACAGCUCAAAUUUGAAAUCUGGCUCUUUCAGGGUCCGAGUUGUAAUUUGUAGAAGAUGCUUUGGGUGUAGCUCCGGUCUAAGUUCCUUGGAACAGGACGUCAUAGAGGGUGAGAAUCCCGUACGUGACUGGGUGCUUUCGCUCGUGUAAAGCUCUUUCGACGAGUCGAGUUGUUUGGGAAUGCAGCUCAAAAUGGGUGGUAAAUUUCAUCUAAAGCUAAAUAUUGGCCAGAGACCGAUAGCGCACAAGUAGAGUGAUCGAAAGAUGAAAAGCACUUUGGAAAGAGAGUUAAACAGUACGUGAAAUUGUUGAAAGGGAAGCGCUUGCAACCAGACUUGCGCGCUGUUGAUCAUCCGAGGUUUUCCCCGGUGCACUCGGCAGCGUUCAGGCCAGCAUCGGUUUUGGUGGGCGGAUAAAGGCCUUGGGAAUGUAGCUUCUUUCGGGGAGUGUUAUAGCCCUCGGUGCAAUGCGCCCUACCGGGACCGAGGACCGCGCUUCGGCUAGGAUGCUGGCGUAAUGGUGUAAGCGACCCGUCUUGAAACACGGACC